This 253-nucleotide ribosomal RNA is filed under the name uncultured bacterium. Its description in RNAcentral is "partial 16S ribosomal RNA". It matches the Rfam family "Bacterial small subunit ribosomal RNA", at positions 524 to 776 of the family's 1533-position model. The record is from RNAcentral.
UACGAAGGGGGCUAGCGUUGCUCGGAAUCACUGGGCGUAAAGCGCACGUAGGCGGAUUGUUAAGUCAGGGGUGAAAUCCUGGAGCUCAACUCCAGAACUGCCUUUGAUACUGGCGAUCUUGAGUCCGGGAGAGGUGAGUGGAACUGCGAGUGUAGAGGUGAAAUUCGUAGAUAUUCGCAAGAACACCAGUGGCGAAGGCGGCUCACUGGCCCGGAACUGACGCUGAGACGCGAAAGCGUGGGGAGCAAACAGG